This 254-nucleotide ribosomal RNA is filed under the name uncultured bacterium. RNAcentral's name for it is "partial 16S ribosomal RNA". It matches the Rfam family "Bacterial small subunit ribosomal RNA", at positions 524 to 776 of the family's 1533-position model. The record is from RNAcentral.
UACGAAGGGGGGCUAGCGUUGCUCGGAAUCACUGGGCGUAAAGGGCGCGUAGGCGGACUCUUAAGUCGGGGGUGAAAGCCCAGGGCUCAACCCUGGAAUUGCCUUCGAUACUGAGAGUCUUGAGUUCGGAAGAGGUUGGUGGAACUGCGAGUGUAGAGGUGAAAUUCGUAGAUAUUCGCAAGAACACCAGUGGCGAAGGCGGCCAACUGGUCCGAUACUGACGCUGAGGCGCGAAAGCGUGGGGAGCAAACAGG